CAAGAGUUUUGCGUGCCCACAUAAAGGCCAUAGACAAGGUGAGGGUACAAGCGCAAGUGGGGGAAAUCAAGGUCAAAAUGCAGGGGGUAAGGAGAUGCAGACAGCAGAGGCUGGGCCUAGUCAGUCUAGAGAUGGUGGUGUAGAUGAGGCUGGGCCUAGUCAGGCUAGAGAUGGUAGGGUAGUGGAGGCUGGGUCUAGUCAGGCUAGAGAUGGUGGAGAAGCGGAGGCUGGGUCUAGUCAGGCUAGAGAUGGUGGGGUAGCUGAGGCUGGGCCUAGACAUGCUAUGGAGGGUGGUGCAGAUGAUGCUGGGCCGAGUCAUGCUAUGGAGGGUGGUGCAGAUGAUACUGCGUCUAGUCAGGUUAUUCUAGUGGAUGAGGAGAGUAUAGUGGGGAAGUGUAAGAGAUUAGGGGGAGAGGAGGAGGGUGUCAAGAGGAAAAGGAAAAAGGGUGUAGACAAAGGCACCAUGGAAAUGUUGCCUGUUGCUGUGGGUGAGGCCCUAACCAGAGAGAAAGGGCAGGUGGUCAGGGUGGGAGAUAGAGAAGAGGAGGAAAGUGAGUCUGAGGAAGAGGAUGAGGAGUUAUUUUUUUCAGACUCCUCUUCAAUUGGCCCGGAGCUGACAGCCAG
Oncorhynchus tshawytscha (Chinook salmon) is the source of this 624-nucleotide long non-coding RNA. The record is from Ensembl. NCBI's taxonomy places the organism in Eukaryota, Metazoa, Chordata, Actinopteri, Salmoniformes, Salmonidae.